RNAcentral lists this ribosomal RNA (268 nucleotides) under Duganella levis. RNAcentral's name for it is "partial 16S ribosomal RNA". It matches the Rfam family "Bacterial small subunit ribosomal RNA", at positions 871 to 1143 of the family's 1533-position model. Lineage: Bacteria; Pseudomonadati; Pseudomonadota; Betaproteobacteria; Burkholderiales; Oxalobacteraceae. The record is from RNAcentral.
GCCUGGGGAGUACGGUCGCAAGAUUAAAACUCAAAGGAAUUGACGGGGACCCGCACAAGCGGUGGAUGAUGUGGAUUAAUUCGAUGCAACGCGAAAAACCUUACCUACCCUUGACAUGGAUGGAAUCUUUGAGAGAUUAGAGAGUGCCCGAAAGGGAACCAUUACACAGGUGCUGCAUGGCUGUCGUCAGCUCGUGUCGUGAGAUGUUGGGUUAAGUCCCGCAACGAGCGCAACCCUUGUCAUUAGUUGCUACGAAAGAGCACUCUAA